UACGGAGGGUGCAAGCAUUAAUCGGAAUUAUUGGGCGUAAAGGGCGCGUAGGCGGAUAGAUAAGUCAGAUGUGAAAUUCCGGAGCUCAACUUCGGAGCUGCAUUUGAAACUAUAAAUCUAGAGGGAUGGCGGAGGAAAUGGAAUUCCACGUGUAGCGGUGAAAUGCGUAGAUAUGUGGAAGAACACCUGUGGCGAAAGCGGUUUUCUAGCUAUUACCUGACGCUGAGGCGCGAGAGCAAGGGGAGCAAACAGG
RNAcentral lists this ribosomal RNA (253 nucleotides) under uncultured bacterium. RNAcentral's name for it is "partial 16S ribosomal RNA". It matches the Rfam family "Bacterial small subunit ribosomal RNA", at positions 524 to 776 of the family's 1533-position model. The record is from RNAcentral.